UCUGAUCCUUUGCCUUCUUGGUUCUGGAACAUUCUGUACCUGAAAUAAAGUAGAUAAUCUGAACUUAUAUGUAGUUGAUUAGGAGAUUUAUGGCUGUCACGAUGCCCUGCUGGACACCACAGGAGUCAAGGCUUAUAAGUGGAAGGAACUUAUCUACAGAUGAGAAUUUGGACGUGGGUCUUGAAAUCUGGGACUUCUGAGUUAAUUCUGGAACCAGUCAAGACCUUUGGGAACUAUUGCAAAGGCAUCAUUGUAUAUCGAAAUGUGAGAAAGCUUUCUGAGGACCUCAACAGAAACAGAUGUUGAAGCCAUGCUGUUACAGCCGGCAGCACCUUACAGGUCUGGACAUUUGCUAUACAGAAAUUCUGAUUCUGCCAUAGAAUGAAACUGAAAAGAGUUUGGGGUAAAAUUAGCAUGUUUAGG
This 423-nucleotide long non-coding RNA is filed under the name Homo sapiens (human). RNAcentral's name for it is "HSALNT0147864". Lineage: Eukaryota; Metazoa; Chordata; Mammalia; Primates; Hominidae. The record is from RNAcentral.